Molecule: ribosomal RNA, 427 nt
Filed under: uncultured bacterium
Lineage: Bacteria
Description: partial 16S ribosomal RNA
Rfam family: Bacterial small subunit ribosomal RNA
Source: RNAcentral
UGGGGAAUAUUGCACAAUGGGCGCAAGCCUGAUGCAGCCAUGCCGCGUGUAUGAAGAAGGCCUUCGGGUUUUAAAGUACUUUCAGCGGGGAGGAAGGUGUUGAGGCUAAUAACCUCAGCAAUUGACGUUACCCGCAGAAGAAGCACCGGCUAACUCCGUGCCAGCAGCCGCGGUAAUACGGAGGGUGCAAGCGUUAAUCGGAAUUACUGGGCGUAAAGCGCACGCAGGCGGUCUGUCAAGUCGGAUGUGAAAUCCCCGGGCUCAACCUGGGAACUGCAUUCGAAACUGGCAGGCUAGAGUCUUGUAGAGGGGGGUAGAAUUCCAGGUGUAGCGGUGAGAUGCGUAGAGAUCUGGAGGAAUACCGGUGGCGAAGGCGGCCCCCUGGACAAAGACUGACGCUCAGGUGCGAAAGCGUGGGGAGCAAACA